CUUUCCUGCUCACAUUCCUGUAGGUUAUCCUACAGGAUAAAAAGGAAGAAGAGUCCUGGUCAUUUUAAUGAACAAAAUGGAAGAAGAGGAAGAAGUCUGGUUAUCUAGGAAGGACAGAAUCAAUCUAUCCCUUUUCCGGCCAAGCCCUAUGCAGUUCUCAGCUUACACCUGGGCAUACUCCUUCUGUUCACUUGUCAGUUUGGCAUUCUUCAACUCUAAUGGAGCUUUGGUUGCAUGUGGGAAUACGAGGAGGACUGUACAGAGCAGCAGCUGUGGAGCAAGACAAACAGCCUGAGAACCAAGGACACCUCUAGAAGGAGAAAGAACGGCUCACAGCUCGGACUGGAUAAAAAGUGUGUGUGGAAUACUCUCUUGACAUGUAAAGGUGGGCAGGAAAGUUGUAGGGGUGAAUGGUAAAGCUAGGAAAAGGAAACUUGUGAAGGUAUGUAAGUGAUGUGAGAACUUGUAAUAAAUGGUUUGGAUUGUUCA
Long non-coding RNA from Coturnix japonica (Japanese quail), 489 nucleotides. RefSeq lists it as uncharacterized. Lineage: Eukaryota; Metazoa; Chordata; Aves; Galliformes; Phasianidae. The record is from RefSeq and is a predicted model, not a curated record.